This 250-nucleotide non-coding RNA is filed under the name unclassified sequences. Its description in RNAcentral is "EGFOA-assoc-1 RNA". It matches the Rfam family "EGFOA-assoc-1 RNA". The record is from Rfam by way of RNAcentral.
AAAUGCUUUGUUCACAAGCAGUAAAUAAGUGAACCUCGAACCUAUCUAGGAAUACGAUAUAGCGUUACUUCCGAACGGCAAACCAUGGCACUACGAAGUAAACGUAUGAUAGGCAAGAGUAAAGAAAACGCAUUAAUCAAGCGUAGUAUAAGGUGGCAUGCGAUUAUGCAAACAUCGAGGUCCUGGAAAAACCGAUGUAAAAUAAAUAACAGCACCCGUUUAGCGAGCGUGGUGAUAGGCGUUAUAGGCU